UACUAAUAAAAAUAAUCCCGAAAAUUGGGUAGACAACUCUAUUUUAUGCUGCGCAGCAAAACUACAAACAUGCAAUAUCUACGAUUUAUUUACAUUUUAGAUCACUUUCGAUCCGUGAGGGGUGAUUCAAAUCAAAAUACUCUAAACCCCUGCUGCACACUGUCCUGCAGUUGACAGAGUGCGAAACGUCAACGUCACUGUCAUCUCACCGAACUGUCACCAGCAUAAUUGUUUGUAAACAAAGCAGUUAGCUGUAGUUCGGUUCGAUAUGUGACCGCGAACAUUUUUAUCGGUGGUUUAUGGCCAAUAGCCACCGAUUUGACGAACGGUAUGAUCUGGUAAUGAAUGAGUGAAAGUGGCGGGUGUUUUGCUGCCAGAUCUGGUACUUCCCGAGGAAGAACAGACUGCAGAAACCCCAAUAAUCCCGGGAUCACCAUGAUGGCCAUCUUGCCAAGCAAGAAGCACAUCAGAUGCAAUCCGGUAAUCACUCCUGGAUCUGGCCAGUCGGUGAACAGUCGAGGGCUUUGACGAGUUCCGAGGGAAGAUAAUUUAACCCCUCGCCAACUACUAACGCCCUGUCACGCCAACCUAUGGCCAACCCAGAGGAUUACGACGGAUGUUCUUAGAUGUAAUUGAGAAAUUUAAUAAAGUUUUUGAAUAAAUUUGGCGGAGAACCUUUCCAGUUCUUCCGCAAUCGGGUAAUCGGGAUCAACGACGAGCAACUCCGAAAUCAUUGCCCUAAUCUUGGCGUAAUCCGGGUCCUCAUCUUCGGUUCCGUUCAACAGAUUGUUGACGUAUUCUUUGGCUUGUUCCUUGAUUUCGUUAGUGGGUUCCUUGGACUUCU
Culex pipiens pallens (northern house mosquito) is the source of this 844-nucleotide long non-coding RNA. RefSeq lists it as uncharacterized. The transcript has 3 exons. The record is from RefSeq and is a predicted model, not a curated record. Lineage: Eukaryota; Metazoa; Arthropoda; Insecta; Diptera; Culicidae.